CAGGUUGGCAGAAAGAAUAGCUGAAAUACCUUCCACUCCAAAAUUCUACUGCAAUUCCAGAACCACAGAAUGUGUACAAAUGCACCUGUGACAAAGCAGAGCUGAAGGAGGGCUAUCAUUAGUACAGUGAAUUUAUCACCCCACUUCUGGAGGACAGAAAGGACCGAAAGGAGCAACAUGCCCUGUCUUCCUUCCUAGCCUUCUCUAGGCAGAGUGGUGCAUCUACUCCACAGCUCUGCUUGGAUGCCAGCACUUAUCAUCUGC
This 264-nucleotide long non-coding RNA is filed under the name Chinchilla lanigera (long-tailed chinchilla). Its description in RNAcentral is "lncRNA (ENSCLAG00000027842.1)". Lineage: Eukaryota; Metazoa; Chordata; Mammalia; Rodentia; Chinchillidae. The record is from RNAcentral.